GCCCUGACUGGGAAUUGAACCAGUGACCCUUUGGUUUGCAGGCAGAAGCUCAAUCAGUGGACCUACACCAGCCAGGGCAGGAAUGAGAUUUCUGGGCCACAGAUUAGGAGUUCAAGCUGGGCAGACGGUGACCGAUGCCAUGGGACAACGCCCAGGGACAGAGUGUGCGGUAGAAGAGGAAGCCAGGCCACGGCUCGGGCAUGGUGGACAUUCAGAGGGAGCACAGAGGAAGAGGGUCCGCGAAGGAGGCAAAGAAGAUGGGAAAACUGCGGCACAGGCUUUGCCAGUCUUUCCCUGCGGCGGGCUGGCUCCCCAGUCCUCCCCUUUCCCGCCACACUCGGAACCCCUUAGAAGAGACAGUUAACAGAAAGGGCUUCACACAAGCCUGGCCCACAGCGACAGCUAAUUGCCAGAGGCCUCACUCAUGGAACUAGAGAAAGGAAGACCACCUGCCGCAGGCCCACGGUUCUCCUCGCUCCCACCCUUCCACCGGAGCAGAUCUCUCAGCUCUAUCCUCAAAAAUCCCAGUAAUGCGGUGCAAAUUAAGGUUACCUUAAAUAUCCUAAUCUUAUAACAAUUUUGCUUCAAUCAACAUCUAACUGUGACCACAUGUGCCCAGACCACCCAGCAGCCAGGUUGGUGGCUUGGGAGGAGGUGGCACAGGACUCCCUGGGGGAGAGGUCUGCGGGUCAUUGGGUCACUCUGCGUUCUCCUGGCCUGCCACACUGGGCUGCCCUUCCUCUUCCCCUCCCCCACCUUUUCUCAGGCAGCU
This is a long non-coding RNA of Artibeus jamaicensis (Jamaican fruit-eating bat), 772 nucleotides long. RefSeq lists it as uncharacterized. NCBI's taxonomy places the organism in Eukaryota, Metazoa, Chordata, Mammalia, Chiroptera, Phyllostomidae. The record is from RefSeq and is a predicted model, not a curated record. The transcript is spliced from 3 exons.